GGGGGGGGGGGGGAGAAAAAGAAGAAACAGAGAGUGAGGAGAGGCAGAGAGGGAGAGAGAGGGAUCUGAGCAAACUCGAGGAAGACGACCGAGUCGAACCAAUUUUGAAAGGGAAAAUGACUAAACUUGGGGUUCUUGAUUAAUUGAAGUUGGUUAAUUCUCGAGAUUCUCAAGGGCAAAAGUUGGCGAGCCUUAAAGCAAGCAUUUUGAAGGCUCAAUUCAGUGGACCAUACGUUGGGUGUUCGAUAAACUUCUAACUGUGUGGAAGGACUACUUUUUGAUAUCGGGGAUCAGCUUGGAGAACUAGGUAGGGACCUUAGUUAUAUGAUAAGUAUUAUUUUUGCAUAGAACGUAUUUGUAUAUGUUACGACCUGAAAUUUUUGUGUAGUUGGUUUAGUGAUAUGGUUGAAGAGAAAAUACUCUCUUUGAGAUGCAUAUACAUAUUAGAGCUUGCUGGAUUGGAUAUAUAUAUUUAGGCUUUAUGGAACGUAGGUUUAGAUGUGAAUAGUUUGUGUGAUAAUGGAUAUCGACCAAAUUUAGGGGAAGUUCUGUCGAAAUUUCGGGUCGUGACAAUUUCAUCAAUAAUUUUCAUAGACAUUUCAUCGAA
Non-coding RNA from Punica granatum (pomegranate), 607 nucleotides. The record is from RefSeq and is a predicted model, not a curated record. Lineage: Eukaryota; Viridiplantae; Streptophyta; Magnoliopsida; Myrtales; Lythraceae.